Long non-coding RNA from Oncorhynchus keta (chum salmon), 1126 nucleotides. RefSeq lists it as uncharacterized. The record is from RefSeq and is a predicted model, not a curated record. The transcript is spliced from 4 exons. NCBI's taxonomy places the organism in Eukaryota, Metazoa, Chordata, Actinopteri, Salmoniformes, Salmonidae.
CUGGGUUCAAAUACCAUUUAGCACCGGGUCAGCCCCGAUACACAGGGUCCAGACCUGGGUUCAAAUACCAUUUAGUACCGGGUCAGCCCCGAUACACAGGGUCCAGACCUGGGUUCAAAUACCAUUUAGUACCGGGUCAGCCCCGAUACACAGGGUCCAGACCUGGGUUCAAAUACCAUUUAGUACCGGGUCAGCCCCGAUACACAGGGUCCAGACCUGGGUUCAAAUACCAUUUAGGUCCAUUUAGGACAGGGUCCACACAGAAACAGGAUUGAGAAGUAGUCAUUAAACGCAUGUGCAGACACACACACACACACACACACACACACACACACACACACACACACACACACACACACACACACACACACACACACACACACACACACACACACACACACACACACACACACACACACACACACACACAGGACUGAGAUCAGUCUAUAAGGUGAAUGAGUUGGACAGGCCUGAGAUCAGUCUAUAAGGUGAAUGAGUUGGACAGGCCUGAGAUCAGUCUAUAAGGUGAAUGAGUUGGACAGGCCUGAGAUCAGUCUGUAAGGUGAAUGAGUUGGACAGGCCUGAGAUCAGUCUGUAAGGUGAAUGAGUUGGACAGGCCUGAGAUCAGUCUAUAAGGUGAAUGAGUUGGGACAGGCCUGAGAUCAGUCUGUAAGGUGAAUGAGUUGGACAGGCCUGAGAUCAGUCUAUAAGGUGAAUGAGUUGGACAGGCCUGAGAUCAGUCUAUAAGGUGAAUGAGUUGGACAGGCCUGAGAUCAGUCUGUAAGGUGAAUGAGUUGGACAGGCCUGAGAUCAGUCUGUAAGGUGAAUGAGUUGGACAGGCCUGAGAUCAGUCUGUAAGGUGAAUGAGUUGGACAGGCCUGAGAUCAGUCUGUAAGGUGAAUGAGUUGGACAGGCCUGAGAUCAGUCUGUAAGGUGAAUGAGUUGGACAGGCCUGAGAUCAGUCUGUAAGGUGAAUGAGUUGGACAGGCCUGAGAUCAGUCUAUAAGGGGAAUGAGUUGGACACCCCUGAGUUCGCUAUCUAAGGUGAAUGAGUUGGACAGGCCUGAGAUCAGUCUAUAAGGGGAAUUAGUUGGACACCCCUGAGUUCGCUAUCUAAGGUGUCUGA